Molecule: long non-coding RNA, 1478 nt
Filed under: Canis lupus familiaris (dog)
Lineage: Eukaryota; Metazoa; Chordata; Mammalia; Carnivora; Canidae
Description: lncRNA (ENSCAFG00000052528.1)
Source: RNAcentral
GGAGGGAGGGAGGGAGGGGGGCAGGGGCUGCGGGGGGCGCCCCCUCGCCUCGCACCUCCGGACAGGUGUGCCCCGCCCCCGCCCGGCCUCGGCGGUGCGCGUGCGUGCGUGCGCUUUCAGGUAAUUUCCGAGUAAUUGGCUCAGGACAACUUUCCACUUUGGGAAGCGGUUUCAGCGAAAUCCUGUCGAGCAGCUAGUUUUCGACACGUUCUUUCGGAGACCAGUGACUUCGCGUACAUUUUUUUUUUCUUUUUUUUUUUUUUGGAGCAGCGGGUGCGAGGCGGGCGGAGCGCGCGGUGCCACAGGUUCGCGGAGGGGCGGGGCGGGGGCCGCGGGCGGGCGGAGAGGGCGGCGCGGGGCGCGGGGCGCGGGGCGGGGGCAGCCGCAGGCCGUGCGCGCCGCCGGGCCCUGAGGCUUCUCGGGCUGGAGAAGUUCCCGCGGUUUUGUGCGGCCCCGCAAGGAGCAUCGCCCAGGCGCCCGGAGAGAGGGGGAGGGAGAAGCCGGACCCGACCCCGCGCCUCCCUGCGCCCUGGAGCCGUCGUGCACGGACACCAGGUGAAGAAUGCCGAAUAGGUGUUGUCGAAAGGGCAGAGGAGAAGUCUAUGAGAGGAGUCGUAAGAAUUAAAGUGUGCCAGAUGGAAAGAUCCAGUACUACACCACCUACAGACAAGCGUACCACAUGGAGCAACAGCCCGUCUACAAGUGCUGCCCUGGUUGGAGCCAGUGGGACAAUGAACCUGGCUGCCUAUGCUGCGGUGGGAACAUGUUUCAAAGGAAGGAGGUGCUCAGACGGCGAGGCCCAGCAGAGCCAGUAUUCAGAGGGUUUUCAAGGCCCCCACUGUCAAUAUGAACUCCAUGAAGAGGUCUUGGGCUAAUUUAUUCAAUAUAGUGCCAAACGGCCGUGGAACAUUAGAUUGACUGAUGAUUUUCUCUCUCAGAGAUGUCAGUGGAAACAUUCCUAACUGCCCGAGGCAGUCAUAUGCCACAGCUGGCACCAUAUUUAAACUACUUCCCCACGUAAGUGCAUAAUUUUGUCACCUGGUGAUAAAGAGCAAAGAGCUACAAAAGGAAAUUUUGCAAAAAAUAGUCUUAUUUUCACUUAGCUAAUGCUGCAACUCUGUCAAUUAGGCCUUUUUAGGUAGAUGAAAACAUUUGUGUGCCAAUUAAAUAACUUAGCAAAUUUCAGCAAGACUCAGCAAAAUUCAGAAUGCCAUUUCCUAAAGAUGCAGCCCCAUUCUUGUUAAACAAAGAUGAUCAGAUGCCAUCUAGGACAUUUAGUGGCUCCUCAGAUACUGAAAAAUUUUAAGUCAAAGAAAAAGCACCACUCUUAACUAAGGAAAGCCAAAAAAAGGUAACAAGGGAAACCAAAAUAUUAAAAACAUGAAAUAAUUUUUCAAAAAUAUGUAUACUGGAGGAGAAAUGAUAAAUUAACUUGAAAUGGUAAAUCUUUUCAUUUUUUAUUUCAAAGUGUAGCUCUG